GUGGGGAAUAUUGGACAAUGGGCGCAAGCCUGAUCCAGCCAUGCCGCGUGAGUGAUGAAGGCCUUAGGGUUGUAAAGCUCUUUCACCGAUGAAGAUAAUGACGGUAGUCGGAGAAGAAGCCCCGGCUAACUUCGUGCCAGCAGCCGCGGUAAUACGAAGGGGGCUAGCGUUGUUCGGAUUUACUGGGCGUAAAGCGCACGUAGGCGGUUUGUUAAGUCAGGGGUGAAAUCCCGGAGCUCAACUCCGGAACUGCCUUUGAUACUGGCAAGCUAGAGUCCGGUAGAGGUAAGUGGAACUCCUAGUGUAGAGGUGGAAUUCGUAGAUAUUAGGAAGAACACCAGUGGCGAAGGCGGCUUACUGGUCCGGAACUGACGCUGAGGUGCGAAAGCGUGGGGAGCAAACAGGAUUAGAUACCCCGGUAGUCC
RNAcentral lists this ribosomal RNA (425 nucleotides) under uncultured bacterium. Its description in RNAcentral is "partial 16S ribosomal RNA". It matches the Rfam family "Bacterial small subunit ribosomal RNA", at positions 354 to 796 of the family's 1533-position model. The record is from RNAcentral.